This 448-nucleotide ribosomal RNA is filed under the name uncultured organism. RNAcentral's name for it is "partial 16S ribosomal RNA". It matches the Rfam family "Bacterial small subunit ribosomal RNA", at positions 334 to 799 of the family's 1533-position model. The record is from RNAcentral.
CACUCCUCGGGAGGCAGCAGUGGGGAAUAUUGGACAAUGGGCGCAAGCCUGAUCCAGCCAUGCCGCGUGAGUGAUGAAGGCCCUAGGGUGGUAAAGCUCUUUCACCGGUGAAGAUAAUGACGGUAACCGGAGAAGAAGCCCCGGCUAACUUCGUGCCAGCAGCCGCGGUAAUACGAAGGGGGCUAGCGUUGUUCGGAUUUACUGGGCGUAAAGCGCACGUAGGCGGACUAUUAAGUCAGGGGUGAAAUCCCGGGGCUCAACCCCGGAACUGCCUUUGAUACUGGUAGUCUUGAGUUCGAGAGAGGUGAGUGGAAUUCCGAGUGUAGAGGUGAAAUUCGUAGAUAUUCGGAGGAACACCAGUGGCGAAGGCGGCUCACUGGCUCGAUACUGACGCUGAGGUGCGAAAGCGUGGGGAGCAAACAGGAUUAGAUACCCCUGUAGUCCCAUG